This 273-nucleotide ribosomal RNA is filed under the name uncultured Acinetobacter sp. RNAcentral describes it as "partial 16S ribosomal RNA". It matches the Rfam family "Bacterial small subunit ribosomal RNA", at positions 524 to 796 of the family's 1533-position model. Lineage: Bacteria; Pseudomonadati; Pseudomonadota; Gammaproteobacteria; Moraxellales; Moraxellaceae. The record is from RNAcentral.
UACAGAUGGUUCACGCGUUAAUCGGAUUUACUGGGCGUAAAGCGCGCGUAGGUGGCCAAUUAAGUCAAAUGUGAAAUCCCCGAGCUUAACUUGGGAAUUGCAUUCGAUACUGGUUGGCUAGAGUAUGGGAGAGGAUGGUAGAAUUCCAGGUGUAGCGGUGAAAUGCGUAGAGAUCUGGAGGAAUACCGAUGGCGAAGGCAGCCAUCUGGCCUAAUACUGACACUGAGGUGCGAAAGCAUGGGGAGCAAACAGGAUUAGAAACCCCGGUAGUCC